RNAcentral lists this transfer RNA (73 nucleotides) under Mus musculus (house mouse). Its description in RNAcentral is "tRNA-Ser". Lineage: Eukaryota; Metazoa; Chordata; Mammalia; Rodentia; Muridae. The record is from RNAcentral.
GCAGAGAUGGCUCAGCGGUUAAGAGCACUGACUGCUCUUCCAAAGGUCCUGAGUUCAAUUCCCAGCAACCACA